GCAAAUAGCAAAGUCAGCAUCCUUACUCUCCUUUUAAUCUGUGGGCUGUUUUUCUUGGGAAGCAAUGUGCAAUAUGCUGAAGCCCAAAAGAAAGUUCGCCCAAAAAAUUGCCUCAAAAUUGGGUACAUGACUUGCCCAAAAUCUGGUUCAAGGAGGCUUCAUCCAGGCUGCACAAACUGUUGCAAAAUCAAGAAGGGUUGCAAACUUUAUCGACCUAAUGGAAGCCUUAUUUGUACUGGAAAGUAAUUUGGAUAUGAGAUAAAUCUUGAAUAAACUAUCAUAUGUUUGUACUACAAAC
Olea europaea var. sylvestris is the source of this 298-nucleotide long non-coding RNA. RefSeq lists it as uncharacterized. The record is from RefSeq and is a predicted model, not a curated record. Lineage: Eukaryota; Viridiplantae; Streptophyta; Magnoliopsida; Lamiales; Oleaceae. The transcript has 2 exons.